This 459-nucleotide ribosomal RNA is filed under the name uncultured bacterium. RNAcentral describes it as "partial 16S ribosomal RNA". It matches the Rfam family "Bacterial small subunit ribosomal RNA", at positions 338 to 795 of the family's 1533-position model. The record is from RNAcentral.
CCUAUGGGAGACAGCAGUGAGGAAUAUUGGUCAAUGGACGAGAGUCUGAACCAGCGAAGUAGCGUGAAGGAUGACUGCCCUAUGGGUUGUAAACUUCUUUUAUAAAGGAAUAAAACGAGGCACGUGUGCCUUUUUGCACGUACUUUAUGAUUAAGGAUCGGCUAACUCCGUUCCAGCAGCCGCGGUAAUACGGAGGUUCCGUGCGUUGUCCGGAGUUAUUGGGUUUAACGGGUGCGUAGGCGGUCCGGAAAGUCAGCGGUAAAAGCCCGGGGCUCAACCCCGGCGAGCCGUGGAAACUGUCGGACUAGAGACGGCGAGAAGUACGCGGAAUGCGCGGUGUAGCGGUGAAAUGCAUAGAUAUCGGGCAGAACACCGAUUGCGAAGGCAGCGUACCGGCUCCGGACUGACGCUGAGGCACGAAAGCGUGGGUAUCGAACAGGAUUAGAUACCCGAGUAGUC